RNAcentral lists this long non-coding RNA (416 nucleotides) under Homo sapiens (human). Its description in RNAcentral is "HSALNT0133632". Lineage: Eukaryota; Metazoa; Chordata; Mammalia; Primates; Hominidae. The record is from RNAcentral.
CCCCGCCCCGUAGGUGGGGCCGGGAGCUUCACCCGUGGCGCCUCGAUGGGGCGCCUCUAGCAGGCGGGUGCAGCCUGUCCCGCGUACCCAGGCGUCCUCGGUACCCACGAAACGGAUCCAAAGAGUCUCAACACUAAUGUAACAUCCCACCCUGACCCAUCUUUGCCCUCUGAGAAAAGCGGCCCGAAAUGAGUUGAGUUAUUCAUCCCCACCGCGGAGUCAGGGACAAGGAGCAGUUGAGUGGCCGAGGAGUGAGAGAGAAUCGAAUCCACUCGGGUCCUCCAAGCUGUUGGUUACCCACUUGGGCUUUCACAGCAAAGCUGCCAAAUCCCAGAAUUGAGGCCUCGGUGAAAAGCGCGCUGAGACUUGGGAGGAGAAGAUGACAGUGUUCUCCCUAAGGAUGAAGUUUGACUUUU